GACGAACGCUGGCGGCGUGCCUAAUACAUGCAAGUAGAACGCACAGUUUAUACCGUAGCUUGCUACACCAUAGACUGUGAGUUGCGAACGGGUGAGUAACGCGUAGGUAACCUGCCUGGUAGCGGGGGAUAACUAUUGGAAACGAUAGCUAAUACCGCAUAAUAUUAAUUAUUGCAUGAUAAUUGAUUGAAAGGUGCAAUUGCACCACUACCAGAUGGACCUGCGUUGUAUUAGCUAGUAGGUGAGGUAACGGCUCACCUAGGCGACGAUACAUAGCCGACCUGAGAGGGUGAUCGGCCACACUGGGACUGAGACACGGCCCAGACUCCUACGGGAGGCAGCAGUAGGGAAUCUUCGGCAAUGGACGAAAGUCUGACCGAGCAACGCCGCGUGAGUGAAGAAGGUUUUCGGAUCGUAAAGCUCUGUUGUAAGAGAAGAACGGGUGUGAGAGUGGAAAGUUCACACUGUGACGGUAUCUUACCAGAAAGGCGGCUUA
Molecule: ribosomal RNA, 496 nt
Filed under: Streptococcus gordonii
Lineage: Bacteria; Bacillati; Bacillota; Bacilli; Lactobacillales; Streptococcaceae
Description: bacterial SSU rRNA
Rfam family: Bacterial small subunit ribosomal RNA
Source: RNAcentral